This 213-nucleotide ribosomal RNA is filed under the name uncultured bacterium. RNAcentral's name for it is "partial 16S ribosomal RNA". It matches the Rfam family "Bacterial small subunit ribosomal RNA", at positions 524 to 733 of the family's 1533-position model. The record is from RNAcentral.
UACAGAGGCCACAAGCGUUAGACGGAAUCACUGGGCUUAAAGCGUGUGUAGACGGGAUGGUAAGUACCUUGUGAAAUCCCACAGCUUAACUGUGGAAAUGCUUGGUAUACUGCCGAUUCUUGAGUCACCUAGGGGCAGCUGGAACAGAUGGUGGAACGGUGAAAUGCAUAGAUAAUCAUCUGGGAACGCCGAGUGGCUGAAACAAGGUCUGGG